CGCGAACCAGCAAGAUGGCGUCCGGUCGGAUGUGACGUCACGGACGCCCCGGAAGAAGCGGGACCUCAGUGGCACAGGAAUGGAACCAGAACCACCUCAGGAGAGCACAUAAUCUUGUCAACCAUCCUGUAUUGAAUCACAGAUAUUUCCUGGCCUUGCUCUUUCACUUCAAGUAAUCUUCCUUACUUCCCUCCUUAAUUCCAAAUGCAUAAAAGAAAUUGCGAGCUCUCAUUCUGGGAAGCAUUGUUCUCAGUCUGAUGAGAUCCUGCUCCCAGGCAUGUCCUGUUUGGCUCAAAUAAAUUCUGAUAAACUCAUAAAAA
Myotis brandtii (Brandt's bat) is the source of this 320-nucleotide long non-coding RNA. RefSeq lists it as uncharacterized. NCBI's taxonomy places the organism in Eukaryota, Metazoa, Chordata, Mammalia, Chiroptera, Vespertilionidae. The transcript has 2 exons. The record is from RefSeq and is a predicted model, not a curated record.